GAUGAACGCUGGCUACAGGCUUAACACAUGCAAGUCGAGGGGAAACGCCGGGGAAGCUUGCUUCCCCGGGCGUCGACCGGCGCACGGGUGAGUAACGCGUAUCCAACCUGCCUCUGACUGAGGGAUAACCCGUCGAAAGUCGGCCUAAUACCUCAUGGCAUCGUCUGCGGGCAUCCAACGACGAUUAAAGAUUUCAUCGGUCAGAGAUGGGGAUGCGUCUGAUUAGCUUGUUGGCGGGGUAACGGCCCACCAAGGCGACGAUCAGUAGGGGUUCUGAGAGGAAGGUCCCCCACAUUGGAACUGAGACACGGUCCAAACUCCUACGGGAGGCAGCAGUGAGGAAUGUUGGUCAAUGGGCGAGAGCCUGAACCAGCCAAGUAGCGUGCAGGAUGACGGCCCUAUGGGUUGUAAACUGCUUUUAUGCGGGGAUAAAGUGAGGGACGUGUCCUUCAUUGCAGGUACCGCAUGAAUAAGGACCGGCUAAUUCCGUG
This 491-nucleotide ribosomal RNA is filed under the name uncultured bacterium. RNAcentral describes it as "partial 16S ribosomal RNA". It matches the Rfam family "Bacterial small subunit ribosomal RNA", at positions 28 to 507 of the family's 1533-position model. The record is from RNAcentral.